UGCCAAGCAGCCGCGGUAAUUCCAGCUCCAAUAGCGUAUAUUAAAGUUGUUGCGGUUAAAAAGCUCGUAGUUGGAUCUCGGCGGGCAGGGGGUGGUUCGCUCUUCAGCGCUACUGCCCCGCUUUGCCCGUGUGAUUGGCGGAGGUUUCGGGGUGCUCUUCGUUGAGUGACUCGGAGCGCCGUCAGGUUUACUUUGAAAAAAUUAGAGUGCUCAAAGCAGGCUUUUCACGCUUGAAUAUUCGUGCAUGGAAUAAUGGAAUAGGAACUCGUUUCUAUUUUGUUGGUUUUCGGAAAUCGAGUUAAUGAUUAACAGGGACAAUUGGGGGCAUUAGUAUUCAGACGACAGAGGUGAAAUUCUUGGACCGUCUGAAGACUGACUACUGCGAAAGCAUUUGCCAAGAGUGUUUUCAUUAAUCAAGAACGAAAGUUAGAGGUUCGAAGGCGAUCAGAUACCGCCCUAGUUCUAACCAUAAACGAUGCCAGCUAGCGAUCUGCCGAGUUUUUUUUGUAGGCUCCGCAGGAAGCUUUCGGGAAACCAAAGCUUUUGGGUUCCGGGGGAAGUAUGGUUGCAAAGCUGAAACUUAAAGGAAUUGACGGAAGGGCACCACCAGGAGUGGAGCCUGCGGCUUAAUUUGACUCAACACGGGAAAUCUCACCAGGCCCGGACACUGGAAGGAUUGACAGAUUGAGAGCUCUUUCUCGAUUCGGUGGGUGGUGGUGCAUGGCCGUUCUUAGUUGGUGGAGUGAUUUGUCUGGUUAAUUCCGAUAACGAACGAGACUCUGUCCUGCUAAAUAGUUGGGUCGUCCUUCGUGCGAUCCAAGUUCUUCUUAGAGGGACUGGCUGCGUCUAGCAGCACGAGAUUGAGCAAUACACAGGUCUGUGAUGCCCAAG
Molecule: ribosomal RNA, 891 nt
Filed under: uncultured eukaryote
Lineage: Eukaryota
Description: SSU rRNA
Rfam family: Eukaryotic small subunit ribosomal RNA
Source: RNAcentral